RNAcentral lists this ribosomal RNA (253 nucleotides) under uncultured bacterium. RNAcentral's name for it is "partial 16S ribosomal RNA". It matches the Rfam family "Bacterial small subunit ribosomal RNA", at positions 524 to 776 of the family's 1533-position model. The record is from RNAcentral.
UACGGAGGGGGCUAGCGUUGUUCGGAAUUACUGGGCGUAAAGAGCACGUAGGCGGAUAUUUAAGUUAGGGGUGAAAUCCCAGGGCUCAACCCUGGAACUGCCUUUAAUACUGGGUAUCUCGAGUCCGAGAGAGGUGAGUGGAAUUCCGAGUGUAGAGGUGAAAUUCGUAGAUAUUCGGAGGAACACCAGUGGCGAAGGCGGCUCACUGGCUCGGUACUGACGCUGAGGUGCGAAAGCGUGGGGAGCAAACAGG